CCUACGGGAGGCAGCAGUGAGGAAUAUUGGUCAAUGGGCGGAAGUCUGAACCAGCCAAGUAGCGUGCAGGAUGACUGCUCUAUGGGUUGUAAACUUCUUUUAUAAAGGAAUAAAGUUAGGUACGUGUGUCUUUCUGUAAGUACUUUAUGAAUAAGGAUCGGCUAACUCCGUGCCAGCAGCCGCGGUAAUACGGAGGAUCCGAGCGUUAUCCGGAUUUAUUGGGUUUAAAGGGUGCGUAGAUGGGUUGUUAAGUCAGUUGUGAAAGUUUGCGGCUCAACUGUAAAAUUGCAAUUGAUACUGGCAGUCUUGAGUACAGUUGAGGUAGGCGGAAUUCGUGGUGUAGCGGUGAAAUGCUUAGAUAUCACGAAGAACUCCGAUUGCGAAGGCAGCUUACUAAACUGCCACUGACAUUGAUGCUCGAAAGUGUGGGUAUCAAACAGGAUUAGAUACCCGUGUAGUC
RNAcentral lists this ribosomal RNA (460 nucleotides) under uncultured bacterium. RNAcentral describes it as "partial 16S ribosomal RNA". It matches the Rfam family "Bacterial small subunit ribosomal RNA", at positions 338 to 795 of the family's 1533-position model. The record is from RNAcentral.